This 357-nucleotide long non-coding RNA is filed under the name Panax ginseng (ginseng). RNAcentral describes it as "long non-coding RNA (PGIN_LNC009989)". The record is from RNAcentral. Lineage: Eukaryota; Viridiplantae; Streptophyta; Magnoliopsida; Apiales; Araliaceae.
CAGCAAAGGCAGCAGCACAACACCGUACCAAAAGCAGUAGCAUACAGUAGUAGGAUACCAGACAGUCUCGAAGCACACAGCAUUACAGGAUCCAAUUACAGUAAAAAGUAUCAUAAUGGGAUGCAUUCAAAAAGGAAGCGGAGGAUGACAGUCUAGACUUAAUGAUGAGAACAACAUCCUUAGCAAUACAGGAUGGGUGUACAAAAUUAUCAUUGUGGAUUUUCAAGUUCCUCGACUCCCAAAUCUUGUAAAAUGUAACACCAAGAGUAAGAUAGAGAAUUUGUUUAGUGAGUCGUCGACCUUGGAAGGAAAGGAUGAAAUCAGUAAUACCAAUCCAAUCCAUAUUGGAAAUAACCC